This 60-nucleotide ribosomal RNA is filed under the name Phymatidium hysteranthum. RNAcentral's name for it is "partial 26S ribosomal RNA". The record is from RNAcentral. Lineage: Eukaryota; Viridiplantae; Streptophyta; Magnoliopsida; Asparagales; Orchidaceae.
AAGUUUUAAUGUACAUUAUGGCUUGGAAUGUGACCCCAGGAUGGGCGAGGCUACCCGCCG